This 446-nucleotide ribosomal RNA is filed under the name uncultured bacterium. RNAcentral's name for it is "partial 16S ribosomal RNA". It matches the Rfam family "Bacterial small subunit ribosomal RNA", at positions 338 to 795 of the family's 1533-position model. The record is from RNAcentral.
CCUACGGGUGGCAGCAGUCGAGAAUCAUUCACAAUGGGGGAAACCCUGAUGGUGCGACGCCGCGUGGGGGAAUGAAGGUCUUCGGAUUGUAAACCCCUGUCAUGUGGGAGCAAAUUAAAAAGAUAGUACCACAAGAGGAAGAGACGGCUAACUCUGUGCCAGCAGCCGCGGUAAUACAGAGGUCUCAAGCGUUGUUCGGAAUCACUGGGCGUAAAGCGUGCGUAGGCUGUUUCGUAAGUCGUGUGUGAAAGGCGCGGGCUCAACCCGCGGACGGCACAUGAUACUGCGAGACUAGAGUAAUGGAGGGGGAACCGGAAGUCUCGGUGUAGCAGUGAAAUGCGUAGAUAUCGAGAGGAACACUCGUGGCGAAGGCGGGUUCCUGGACAUUAACUGACGCUGAGGCACGAAGGCCAGGGGAGCGAGAGGGAUUAGAUACCCUAGUAGUC